GAGGGGGAUGUGAGUUCGUACACAGUCCGGGGAGAACUGCGUGGGGAGGGAGCCGGGGAGGGGGGCGAUCGCGAGGCUUCGGGACGGACGGUGAAACUUCUCCGACUCACUGGGACCAAGGCCACAAGGUUCUCCUGGGCAGAGACUGUGUCUUGUUCAUCUCUGACUCACUGGAUCCCGGGGCGAUGCUCACCACAGAGGAAAAGCUGGGCCAACAGAAGCUUGCUGAAUGAAUAAAUGAGCCUGUAAAUGGAACAGCCAGGAUGAACUGCACAGGCUUCAAAUGCAGGCACACAGAUAUGCAUAGCCCCUUACCAUCUCGCCCCUCUCCUACUGAGAUCACCAGGCAGGACUGAGGGCUGAUUGGCUCCACAGGGUCCAGCUGUUCUUGGCUCCAGGUGACAUUCUGGUGUCCUCUAGGUGUUUCUUCAUCAUCUUGGGUAUGCUGCUGUUCUUGCCAUGAGCUGGCAUAGAUUCACUUGGUGAUGGCCUGGCCUUGGCUGUAAAGAUGAGAACUGGCUGGCAGGAUGACUUAUCAGCAAAGUUGAGACAAGCUGGAAUGAGAAAAAUCGUGCACUACAAAGAAUAGUCCAAGGAAGUCAAGGAAUGAAGUCUGAAGCAAUCAAGUUCACAUUAUAGAGCCUCUGUGCACCACCGUGGCCAUACCAGGGCAAUCCCAGGAGAAUGGAAGUUCAGAAAAUAUGAAAUUUAAAACAAUAACGAUAAACUUUUUUUUUUGACAGGGUCUCACUGUGUAGCCCUGACUGGCCAGGGAACUCACUAUGUAGACCAGGCUGGCCUUGAACUCAGAAGCCCUCCUGUUGCUGCCUCAGAGUGCUGGGAUUAAAGGUGUGUGCCACCAUGCCAGAAAAAAAUGACAGCAUUUAAAUGUUCCGACAGUGACAUGGUGAUCGCACUUGCACAUUU
Long non-coding RNA from Nannospalax galili (Upper Galilee mountains blind mole rat), 927 nucleotides. RefSeq lists it as uncharacterized. The transcript has 4 exons. NCBI's taxonomy places the organism in Eukaryota, Metazoa, Chordata, Mammalia, Rodentia, Spalacidae. The record is from RefSeq and is a predicted model, not a curated record.